CUGACAUGAUUCCAGCGCUGCUUACCUUGACCGUCUUUGAACAGGUCAGGAUACAAUGUAGGCAAGAGACGUGAGAGCACAACUGGAAGUUGCAUCUUCUGGAUCGUCUUUUACUGUUAUCUGAAGGCAAUGGGAAGACAAGGGACUGACAGGAGCCAGUUUCUUCAGUGUGUGUGU
Pimephales promelas (fathead minnow) is the source of this 177-nucleotide non-coding RNA. The record is from RefSeq and is a predicted model, not a curated record. Lineage: Eukaryota; Metazoa; Chordata; Actinopteri; Cypriniformes; Leuciscidae.